Cannabis sativa is the source of this 863-nucleotide long non-coding RNA. RefSeq lists it as uncharacterized. The transcript has 3 exons. The record is from RefSeq and is a predicted model, not a curated record. NCBI's taxonomy places the organism in Eukaryota, Viridiplantae, Streptophyta, Magnoliopsida, Rosales, Cannabaceae.
AGUGAGAUAACAUCUGUCUAUAUAUUGCAUGCUUGGCUUUUCAUGGUGGACCUAUUACAUAAAGCAUUCAUAUGUAGACAUAUUCUUGAUGGGCUGUCAAUUAGCAAAAAAAAGAACAUUACCGCUACCCCAAAAUUUAGAAUUACCAGUCGAAGUGAUCAUCGCUUAAUCAGAUAUUUUCGCCGAUAUUUUUUUCAGCAAAAAUCAGAGCAGGACUAAUUGCAUUUGGCUUUCACUAUCAAGUAAUAUUUUAGCAUUCAAAGGCAAGUGACAGCAUCAUUCCUAACGAACUUCCCAAACUCCAUCACAACAAAGAGAUAAUAGCUUACAUCAAGGCAGUAAAACAAGACUCCGGUGAAGGAUAGAAAUUCAACAUCACUUCAUUCCUUAAUACAACUCCAGCCUCAAAUAAAGAAUGAAUUGCUUCAACUUUCCAUCCUAAUCCAACUCCACUUGUGACUCUUCCUGAAAAGAAAUACAAAGUUACAGCUGAUGAUGAAGGGAAAAAACAUGAAGCUACUGGCGAAGAUGAAAACAACCACAACGCUUCUAAUGAAAGAUCAGAUGCAAUAGAAAGCUUGGGUGUGCAUCUCUUCUAAAUAGGCUUGCUCUUUUGAAAGUUAUUUUGAAAGUUCCAUAAUAGAAUAUAUAUGUAAAGAGGCCACUUGUUGGAACACUAUAUUAUAGGCUUUCACUUUUGAAAGCUCCAUCACUACUAGAUUGAAUGAUUAUGUAAAUAAAUAGCCACAAUUUGGGAACUCUUAAACAAUCUUUUGAGUUCCAUUACAACUUGGAAUGAAUGUAAGUUACAACUUUAAAAGCUACCAUCAUGUUGCAACAUUAAAAACUUUUGUCACCUUAAA